GACGAACGCUGGCGGCGUGCCUAAUACAUGCAAGUAGAACGCUGAAGAGAGGAGCUUGCUCUUCUUGGAUGAGUUGCGAACGGGUGAGUAACGCGUAGGUAACCUGCCUGGUAGCGGGGGAUAACUAUUGGAAACGAUAGCUAAUACCGCAUGAUAUUAAUUGUCGCAUGAUAAUUAAUUGAAAGAUGCAAUUGCAUCACUACCAGAUGGACCUGCGUUGUAUUAGCUAGUUGGUGAGGUAACGGCUCACCAAGGCGACGAUACAUAGCCGACCUGAGAGGGUGAUCGGCCACACUGGGACUGAGACACGGCCCAGACUCCUACGGGAGGCAGCAGUAGGGAAUCUUCGGCAAUGGGGGGAACCCUGACCGAGCAACGCCGCGUGAGUGAAGAAGGUUUUCGGAUCGUAAAGCUCUGUUGUAAGAGAAGAACGGGUGUGAGAGUGGAAAGUUCACA
Molecule: ribosomal RNA, 456 nt
Filed under: Streptococcus sanguinis
Lineage: Bacteria; Bacillati; Bacillota; Bacilli; Lactobacillales; Streptococcaceae
Description: bacterial SSU rRNA
Rfam family: Bacterial small subunit ribosomal RNA
Source: RNAcentral